Molecule: long non-coding RNA, 1588 nt
Organism: Macaca fascicularis (crab-eating macaque)
Lineage: Eukaryota; Metazoa; Chordata; Mammalia; Primates; Cercopithecidae
Source: Ensembl
GGGCUGAGCACGCCCCGAACAGGCCGCCGCGCGCUGCGCCCCGGACCCGUUGCCCCCGCCGGCCCGGCCGGGUCGGGCGGCCCAGGGCGGCACCUUCCUACUUCUGCCCGGCCACAGCCCUCCCCUCACAGUUGAGCACCUGUUUGCCUGAAGUCAAUUUCCAGAAGCAGGAGUCCCCAGAGCCGGGCAGGGGGAUGAACCGCGAGGGAGCUCCCGGGAAGAGUCCGGAGGAGAUGUACAUUCAGCAGAAGGUCCGAGUGCUGCUCAUGCUGCGGAAGAUGGGAUCAAACCUGACAGCCAGCGAGGAGGAGUUCCUGCGCACCUAUGCAGGCGUGGUCAACAGCCAGCUCAGCCAGCUGCCUCCGCACUCCAUUGACCAGGGUGCAGAGGACGUGGUGAUGGCAUUUUCCAGGUCGGAGACAGAAGACCGAAGGCAGUAGCUGCAAAGCCCUUGGAACACCCUGGAUGCUGUUGAGGGCCAAGAGAUCUGUGUGGCUCCUGGGCCGGCUGAGUGGCAGCAGACCCCCUUGCCCCACCUCCCACUUCCCCUACCCAACCCUGCCCUGCCCCAUCCCACCUCACAGCUACUCAGUGGGGCUGGCAUCAAGGGAGACACCAGUGGUGCGUUUAUGAUUGGCUUAAAGGGAUGGACUUGUGAUUGGCUGCAGGAAGAAACUUUUUUAUUUUUUAAAUCUUGACCAACAGAAACCUUUUAUUUUUAUUUCUGACUCUUAUUUUUUAAAAAAUUUGCGCCUCGGUAUCUGGCUUCCCUGGAAGCUCUCCGAGCUCUGGUGCUUUAGUUAGGUUAUUUUUUAGAAAUGUGAAGAGGUCUGAUUGGCUGCUUAAACUGGAAAGGGACUGUGAUUGGCUGGUUAAUGGGAAACGAUUUUUUCUUUGAUUGGCUGCAGGUGUUCUGCUGAUAUCAACGGCUUCCCUAUUUUGAAUGCAGAAAACAGGGUUUGGGACAUUAGUCGUUAUAUUUGACUUGAAAAGAAACCAAGUGCGCUUUGCAAUAUUUAUUACACAAAGAACUUGCUGCUGCCUUCACAUUUGGGGUUUGUGUUUGAUUGGCUUUCGGUGCGUGUGUUUGGUUUCCCAUUGGUUCACCCGUGACUCCUGUUGCCAUGGAUUCACCCCCUCUGCUGCCGGCUCUGGGCCUGAGGGUCCACCUGGAGAGUACAUUUGCUUUAAUGAGUGCACCUGCCUCCACCAGCAAGGUGAUCCCAAGGACCCUGAGCAGCUGGAAAGUUGGGCCCCCGAGGAGCUUGGUGUCGUCUUGAACCCAACAGCCCAGAGCCUAGAGGUCGUCGUGCCUGGAGUCAGGUGUCAAGGCCACACUGCUGGCUGCCCCCUUUUUGUACCUGUAGCUCCUAUAAAGGGCCCACACCUGGUGGAUACCUGGUUGAGUGUGUGGUCUCUGCCCCAGCCUGUCCUUGUCACGAUCACAGGCCUUGAUUUUGUAACGACGACGACCCCGGCCUGUCUCAUCUUCUGAAGAGGAAAAGUCAAAGUGUUGCUGUGGCUUCAUAUUUCAACUAAAAAUAUAUCUGUUGGAGAAAGAAAUUAACAAUAAAGAAUUUUCAUAGGU